UACGUAGGGGGCAAGCGUUGUCCGGAAUUAUUGGGCGUAAAGGGCUCGUAGGCGGUUUCUUAAGUCUGAUGUGAAAGCCCACAGCUCAACUGUGGAGGGUCAUUGGAAACUGGGGAACUUGAGUGCAGAAGAGGAGAGUGGAAUUCCAAGUGUAGCGGUGAAAUGCGUAGAGAUUUGGAGGAACACCAGUGGCGAAGGCGACUAUCUGGUCUGUAACUGACACUGAGGCGCGAAAGCGUGGGGAGCAAACAGG
RNAcentral lists this ribosomal RNA (253 nucleotides) under uncultured microorganism. RNAcentral's name for it is "partial 16S ribosomal RNA". It matches the Rfam family "Bacterial small subunit ribosomal RNA", at positions 524 to 776 of the family's 1533-position model. The record is from RNAcentral.